Molecule: ribosomal RNA, 468 nt
Filed under: uncultured bacterium
Lineage: Bacteria
Description: partial 16S ribosomal RNA
Rfam family: Bacterial small subunit ribosomal RNA
Source: RNAcentral
GACGAACGCUGGCGGCGUGCUUAACACAUGCAAGUCGAACGGAAAGGCCCUGCUUUUGUGGGUUGCUCGAGUGGCGAACGGGUGAGUAACACGUGAGUAACCUGCCCUUGACUUUGGGAUAACUUCAGGAAACUGGGGCUAAUACCGGAUAGGAGCUCCUGCUGCAUGGUGGUGGUUGGAAAGUUUCGGCGGUUGGGGAUGGACUCGCGGCUUAUCAGCUUGUUGGUGGGGUAGUGGCUUACCAAGGCUUUGACGGGUAGCCGGCCUGAGAGGGUGACCGGCGACAUUGGGACUGAGAUACGGACCAGAAUCGUACGGGAGGCAGCAGUGGGGAAUAUUGCACAAUGGGCGGAAGCCUGAGGCAGCAACGCCGCGUGCGGGAUGACGGCCUUCGGGGUGUAAACCGCUUUCGCAUGUGACGAAGAGUGAGUGACGGUAAUGGGUAAAGAAGCACCGGCUAACUACGUG